Molecule: ribosomal RNA, 774 nt
Filed under: uncultured bacterium
Lineage: Bacteria
Description: bacterial SSU rRNA
Rfam family: Bacterial small subunit ribosomal RNA
Source: RNAcentral
AGAGUUUGAUCAUGGCUCAGGACGAACGCUGGCGGCGUGCUUAACACAUGCAAGUCGAGCGGUAAGGCCCUUUCGGGGGUACACGAGCGGCGAACGGGUGAGUAACACGUGGGUGACCUGCCCUCAGCUCUGGGAUAAGCCUGGGAAACUGGGUCUAAUACCGGAUAUGACUCCAUGACGCAUGUUGUGGGGUGGAAAGCCUUGUGCGGCUGGGGAUGGGCCCGCGGCCUAUCAGCUUGUUGGUGGGGUGAUGGCCUACCAAGGCGACGACGGGUAGCCGGCCUGAGAGGGCGACCGGCCACACUGGGACUGAGACACGGCCCAGACUCCUACGGGAGGCAGCAGUGGGGAAUCUUGCGCAAUGGGCGAAAGCCUGACGCAGCGACGCCGCGUGAGGGAUGACGGCCUUCGGGUUGUAAACCUCUUUCAGCUCCGACGAAGCGAAAGUGACGGUAGGAGCAGAAGAAGCACCGGCCAACUACGUGCCAGCAGCCGCGGUAAUACGUAGGGUGCAAGCGUUGUCCGGAAUUAUUGGGCGUAAAGAGCUCGUAGGCGGUCUGUCGCGUCGGCGGUGAAAACUCGGGGCUCAACUCCGAGCUUGCAGUCGAUACGGGCAGGCUAGAGUUCGGCAGGGGAGACUGGAAUUCCUGGUGUAGCGGUGAAAUGCGCAGAUAUCAGGAGGAACACCGGUGGCGAAGGCGGGUCUCUGGGCCGAUACUGACGCUGAGGAGCGAAAGCGUGGGGAGCGAACAGGAUUAGAUACCCUAGUAGUCC